This 253-nucleotide ribosomal RNA is filed under the name uncultured bacterium. Its description in RNAcentral is "partial 16S ribosomal RNA". It matches the Rfam family "Bacterial small subunit ribosomal RNA", at positions 524 to 776 of the family's 1533-position model. The record is from RNAcentral.
UACGAAGGGUGCAAGCGUUACUCGGAAUUACUGGGCGUAAAGCGUGCGCAGGCGGUUUUGCAAGACAGAUGUGAAAUCCCCGGGCUUAACCUGGGAACUGCAUUUGUGACUGCAAGGCUAGAGUGUGUCAGAGGGAGGUGGAAUUCCGCGUGUAGCAGUGAAAUGCGUAGAGAUGCGGAGGAACACCGAUGGCGAAGGCAGCCUCCUGGGAUAACACUGACGCUCAUGCACGAAAGCGUGGGGAGCAAACGGG